Molecule: ribosomal RNA, 457 nt
Filed under: uncultured bacterium
Lineage: Bacteria
Description: partial 16S ribosomal RNA
Rfam family: Bacterial small subunit ribosomal RNA
Source: RNAcentral
GAUGAAUGCUGGCGGCGUGCCUAAUACAUGCAAGUCGUACGGAAAGGCCCUUCGGGGUACUCGAGUGGCGGACGGCUGAGUAACGCGUGGGAACGUGCCCCAAAGUGAGGGAUAACGCACCGAAAGGUGUGCUAAUACCGCAUAUGGUCUUCGGAUUAAAGCUUCGGCGCUUUGGGAGCGGCCCGCGUACGAUUAGAUAGUUGGUAGGGUAAUGGCCUACCAAGUCGGCGAUCGUUAGCUGGUCUGAGAGGAUGAUCAGCCAGACUGGAACUGAGACACGGUCCAGACUCCUACGGGAGGCAGCAGUAAGGAAUCUUCCACAAUGGGGGCAACCCUGAUGGAGCAACGCCGCGUGCAGGAUGAAGGCCCUCGGGUCGUAAACUGCUUUUAUGAGUGAAGAAUAUAACGGUAACUCAUGAAUAAGCACCGGCUAACUACGUGCCAGCAGCCGCCGUAA